GGGAUCGUGGCGCAGUUGGCUAGCGCGUAGGUCUCAUAUCGGAGGUGAAUUCCAACGUAUGACCUGAAAACGGGCAAUCCUAAGGUCGUGAGUUCGAGCCUCACCGAUCCCA
This is a transfer RNA of 112 nucleotides. It matches the Rfam family "tRNA". From Rfam's summary of the family: Transfer RNA (tRNA) molecules are approximately 80 nucleotides in length. Their secondary structure includes four short double-helical elements and three loops (D, anti-codon, and T loops). The record is from Rfam.